UACAGAGGGGGCAAGCGUUGUUCGGAAUUACUGGGCGUAAAGGGCGCGUAGGCGGCCACUUAAGUCAGACGUGAAAUCCCUCAGCUUAACUGGGGGACUGCGUCUGAUACUGGGUGGCUUGAGUGCAGGAGAGGAAUGCGGAAUUCCAGGUGUAGCGGUGAAAUGCGUAGAUAUCUGGAGGAACACCGGUGGCGAAGGCGGCGUUCUGGACUGUAUCUGACACUGAGGAACGAAAGCCAGGGGAGCAAACGGG
RNAcentral lists this ribosomal RNA (253 nucleotides) under uncultured bacterium. RNAcentral describes it as "partial 16S ribosomal RNA". It matches the Rfam family "Bacterial small subunit ribosomal RNA", at positions 524 to 776 of the family's 1533-position model. The record is from RNAcentral.